GACGAACGCUGGCGGCGUGCUUAACACAUGCAAGUCGAACGGAAAGGCCCUGCUUUUGUGGGGUGCUCGAGUGGCGAACGGGUGAGUAACACGUGAGUAACCUGCCCUUGACUUUGGGAUAACUUCAGGAAACUGGGGCUAAUACCGGAUAGGAGCUCCUGCUGCAUGGUGGGGGUUGGAAAGUUUCGGCGGUUGGGGAUGGACUCGCGGCUUAUCAGCUUGUUGGUGGGGUAGUGGCUUACCAAGGCUGUGACGGGUAGCCGGCCUGGGAGGGUGACCGGCGACAUUGGGACUGAGGUACGGCCCAGACUCCUACGGGAGGCAGCGGUGGGGAAUAUUGCACAAUGGGCGGAAGCCUGAGGCAGCAACGCCGCGUUCGGGAUGACGGCCUUCGGGUUGUAAACCGCUUUCGCCUGUGACGAAGCGUGAGUGACGGUAAUGGGUAAAGAAGCACCGGCUAACUACGUG
This 468-nucleotide ribosomal RNA is filed under the name uncultured bacterium. RNAcentral's name for it is "partial 16S ribosomal RNA". It matches the Rfam family "Bacterial small subunit ribosomal RNA", at positions 28 to 507 of the family's 1533-position model. The record is from RNAcentral.